AGAGGUGUAGCAUAGUUGUUAAAAUGUUUGUUUAGUAUUUAAAAGGUCAGGAGUUCGAUCCCCUAUGUCUUUA
This is a non-coding RNA of Zostera marina, 73 nucleotides long. The record is from the annotation of a GenBank genome assembly. NCBI's taxonomy places the organism in Eukaryota, Viridiplantae, Streptophyta, Magnoliopsida, Alismatales, Zosteraceae.